RNAcentral lists this ribosomal RNA (99 nucleotides) under uncultured bacterium. RNAcentral describes it as "partial 16S ribosomal RNA". It matches the Rfam family "Bacterial small subunit ribosomal RNA", at positions 1384 to 1482 of the family's 1533-position model. The record is from RNAcentral.
UACACACCGCCCGUCACACCAUGGGAGCGGGAUGUACCAGAAGUAGGUAGGCUAACUCGCAAGAGGGCGCUUACCACGGUGCGUUUCGUGACUGGGGUG